CAGAGAGGAGAGGAGGGUCAAACAAGAGGAUUGUUUCCAGACACUUUAUUACCCAAUCAGCCAUCCGGUCCUGUCAUUAACCACAGUAUCCAUGGUAGAGAGAGGGGAGCAAACCAAAGACAGUCUGGUGACCUGGGACUGACUACCCAACAGGAAACUGAGCCGGUCCUGAGUGCCGGCUAUGGUAGAAGGUGGAGGGAGUGACAUCGGAAUGUCCCUGGCUGAGACACUCAGCCAGCUGCAGUGCAUGUGGUCAGUGCCAAGGCCCUGCCACAAGCUUGACCAUCUCAAGCCCUAGAGAAACCAGUACCGAAAUCAAUUAUCUGUGAUUCUGCGUGUCAAAGGCAGCCCUUGUUGUAAUUGGUCCUUAUGUGGACUGAUUCCUUUCUUUUAUCAUAUUAUCAAGGACGAAAAUGGGUUUUAUUUGUAAACACUUGGUGAGCAUCAUGACAGAUUCCGUGUAGGUCGCUUUCACCCGCAUCAUUCUCUCAGCAUGCCGUGUCUUUGCUCUGGUCCUCCAGCCACCAACACCCUUGCUAUUAGUUGCAUCCCAGAUGCUCCGGUCUCAGGGUGGAGCUGCCCGCCUGGGAAGGAGCACUGUUGGUGGGAAACACAGAGAAGCUUCGAGACUGGGGUUGAGAGCUUGCACGGCAGCCCGGUGUGACCUCUGGCCUCUCUGCCAUGUCCAGAACCCGGGCAGUUACUUAGCCUUUCAAAGCCUCUGCUUCUCCAGCUGUAACAUAUGAUGGACAGCCUAGGUUAUUUGGACACGUCAGCCAAGAGAGCACUUGAUUUGCGCUCUGGUUUGUAACCAGGGCUCGGUGAAUUAGCACGCAUUCUCGUGUACCCAAGAGGAUUUUGUAGAUAUGAUUAGAAUCAGCCAUUACCUUUGACUAUGAUGAAUCUGGGCAUUUCAAAUCAGAGCUAAUGACGGAGCCGUAAAGAAUCAGCCGUGAAAGCAGAGAAAGGAAAACAAACAAGAGAAGCCCCCAAAGAAGCAAGAACAACACAAGAGGGCUUGGGGUGGACUUUUCAUGACAGGAAAGCAUACUUUGCAGGCACCGUCAUGAUCGCUGUGCCCUCUUAGCCCGGCCGAUCCCUGAAGCCCAGCUCAGCAGCAUCGUAGUGCAAAGCUUCUUUGUCUCCCUCCCUGAUGGCUUUUUCUGGUCCCUGAAGCAUGCUCAGCUUUUGAGCUGGGCAGUAGGAAAGCUCAGAGGGGUACUAUCCCUGGAACAGGCUCCAGCCCAUGGAGUCAACGUCCAGGGUUAACGUUGAAUGUCACUGCUCUACUUCCCUGGGGCAGGUUCUACAAGCUCUCCUGCAGGUCAGGACUGCGCCCCACAUGCCCAGCAUGGCCCUGAUCAUUAAUGCGCCCUGUACUGGCUCCCUGCCCCACCUUCCCACACUCCCAUCAAGGUGAGGGUCACGGGGACUGCCUCCCACACUCAGAAAUUGCACCCAAAUCUUUGACUUGGGGUCUGAGACCCAAACUAAGGCAAACACUUCGUUCAGUGAAAAAUUCAGGUGACCGCGGCACAUCUGGGUUAAGACUAGGAAAUAUAUCUUUUCCAUUCAGAUAGAAAAGAAAAUCCUCAGCUUCUUAGGUUGUUUUUGUUUGAGGUUGUUUGGUAGAGCCCAUGUUGUCUGAGACUGAGUGACUCUACUGGAAUCCAUGACCUGGAACCGAUUAGUUCUGCGAUGUUGGAAUAAUGAGCAUAAGAUGGUGAGCACAGUGCAUAACUCUCAUAGAUUCUUGAAAUCACCUCUAUUAAGGUAUAAUUUGCAUACAAUGUGUACAUGUUAUUAUACAUUUUGAUUUUUUUUCUUUCUUUUUUUUUUUGGGGGGGGUGCUGCCUUUGAGGCACAUGGAAGUUCCUGGACUAGGGGUUGUCAUAUUGGAGCGGCAGCUGCUGGCAUACACCACAGCCACAGCAGUGUGGGAUCCAAGUCACGUCUUCGACCUACGCUGAAGUUUGCAGCAACACCAGAUCCUUAACCCACUGAGUGAGGCCAGGGGUUGGACCUGCAUCCUCAUGGAUACUAGUAGCGUUCUUAGCCCGCUGAAUCACAAUGGGAAGUCCCAGUUUGAUGGGUUUUGACAAAUGCACCCAUCUAUGUAAAUAUCACCCCAAUAAAUCUAAAUGCCCACAAACUCAAUGUCUUCAUUUGGUUUGCAGUCAACCUUCACCCCACCC
This 2195-nucleotide long non-coding RNA is filed under the name Sus scrofa (pig). RNAcentral's name for it is "lncRNA (ENSSSCG00005021953.1)". Lineage: Eukaryota; Metazoa; Chordata; Mammalia; Artiodactyla; Suidae. The record is from RNAcentral.